UACGAAGGGGCUAGCGUUGUUCGGAAUCACUGGGCGUAAAGCGCACGUAGGCGGAUUGCUAAGUCAGGGGUGAAAUCCUGGAGCUCAACUCCAGAACUGCCUUUGAUACUGGCGAUCUUGAGUCCGGGAGAGGUGAGUGGAACUCCGAGUGUAGAGGUGAAAUUCGUAGAUAUUCGGAAGAACACCAGUGGCGAAGGCGGCUCACUGGCCCGGUACUGACGCUGAUGUGCGAAAGCGUGGGGAGCAACAGGG
RNAcentral lists this ribosomal RNA (252 nucleotides) under uncultured bacterium. Its description in RNAcentral is "partial 16S ribosomal RNA". It matches the Rfam family "Bacterial small subunit ribosomal RNA", at positions 524 to 776 of the family's 1533-position model. The record is from RNAcentral.